Molecule: ribosomal RNA, 490 nt
Filed under: Callophrys polios
Lineage: Eukaryota; Metazoa; Arthropoda; Insecta; Lepidoptera; Lycaenidae
Description: partial 16S large subunit ribosomal RNA
Source: RNAcentral
AAAAACAUGUCUUUUUGAGAAAUAAUUUAAAGUCCAGUCUGCCCACUGAUUUAUAUUAAAGGGCUGCAGUAUUUUGACUGUACAAAGGUAGCAUAAUCAUUAGUCUUUUAAUUGAAGACUUGUAUGAAGGAUUAGAUGAAAUAUAAACUGUCUCUUAUUUAAUUAUAGAAUUUAAUUUUUUAGUUAAAAAGCUAAAAUAAUUUUAAAAGACGAGAAGACCCUAUAGAGUUUUAUAUUUAUUUAUAAAUUAUAUUUAUAUAAAAUUUUAAUAUAAUUUAUAAAUAAAUAUUUUGUUGGGGUGAUAAAAAAAUUAAUAAAACUUUUUUUUAAAAAUAAACAAAGAUAAAUGAAUAAAUGAUCCAUAAGUAAUGAUUAUAAGAAAAAAUUACCUUAGGGAUAACAGCGUAAUAUUUUUUUUUAGUACAAAUAAAAAAAAAAGUUUGCGACCUCGAUGUUGGAUUAAGAUAAAAGUUAAAUGCAAAAGUUUAAA